ACGUAGGGGGCAAGCGUUGUCCGGAAUGAUUGGGCGUAAAGGGCGCGUAGGCGGCCUGGUAAGUCUGGAGUGAAAGUCCUGCUUUUAAGGAGGGAAUUGCUUUGGAUACUGUCGGUCUUGAGUGCAGGAGAGGUAAACGGAAUUCCCGGUGUAGGGGUAAAAUGCGUAGAGAUCGGGAGGAACACCAAUGGCGAAGGCGACUUACUGGACUAUAACUGACGCUGAGGUGCGAAAGUGUGGGGAGCAAACAG
This 251-nucleotide ribosomal RNA is filed under the name uncultured prokaryote. Its description in RNAcentral is "partial 16S rRNA". It matches the Rfam family "Bacterial small subunit ribosomal RNA", at positions 525 to 775 of the family's 1533-position model. The record is from RNAcentral.